UUUCAUUGAUUCUCAAGAAAGUCCGUGAUUAAGUAUCCCUGCCCAAAGGUGAGGAUGCAUUUUCAGGGGUCACAUGUGUUCCAGUUUGUGGAAAAUGGUGUUCCAGGCUGUGUUUCCAGCAAGCUGUGGCAAGAAUCAGCCUUUUAGACCGAAGGGGUACAAGGACAAAAGAAGAAGGAAAAGGUAG
Molecule: long non-coding RNA, 187 nt
Filed under: Ailuropoda melanoleuca (giant panda)
Lineage: Eukaryota; Metazoa; Chordata; Mammalia; Carnivora; Ursidae
Description: lncRNA (ENSAMEG00000025979.1)
Source: RNAcentral